Non-coding RNA from Microcebus murinus (gray mouse lemur), 3866 nucleotides. The record is from RefSeq and is a predicted model, not a curated record. Lineage: Eukaryota; Metazoa; Chordata; Mammalia; Primates; Cheirogaleidae.
GCGAGCCGCAGUCUGUGCACUCUCGGGGGUGCAGGGUCCUGCCCGUUCCACCCUGUCCUCCACGGGAGAGGACGCGCGGAAGCUCGGGGCCAGGCCUGAGAGGCCGUGAUUUCUUCAAACGUUCGAGCUGUGCCAGAGUCGCUCGCCCACCCCUGCAGCUGCUCCCCGUUGACCUCUGGAAGGGAGAAAUCUCAACAGAACAGAACCGACUCGGGGGCGAUUUCUCUGCACCAUUGCUGGUCACGGCAGGACCAAAAAGGAAGAGACGGCCUGGACAGACCCUGUGGGAGGUGCCCCCGACGGGAAGUGAAGUGAGGUGGGGUGAGGCUCUCCUCAGAAGCCCCAUCUGUGGCGAAAGUGUCGGUGGGUUCCCCAGUCCUGAAGCUACGUCAGAUCUGCUUUCUCCGCACACUGGUCCUCGGCCUCGGUGAAUAGCACAGAAAUGAGGAGGCAGCGCUGGAGAUGGGGUGAAAGACUGUAUUAAUAAAGGAAAUCAUGGUGGUCUUUGGGUCCUGCACAUAACAGUGGAGGAAUCAUUAAUUUAGGGGCACCUGAUAUGUAGGAAACUGUGCUCUACCAAAGAUAAGAGGGCAAAAGACUGUAAGGCUGGUUUUAUAAACUGUAAAAAAAUUUACUUGGUAUUCUUAGGACGUGCUCUGCUCAACUUUACUUGAAUUUCGCAAACAAAAAACAUGGAACAACAAGAAUAGCUACUAUUUGUUGAGCAUAUUUUAUGUGUAAAGCACUUUAUGGAGUGCAUUAUAUUUAUUGUUGUAACCUUCACAACGACCCAGAAAUAUAGCUACUAUUAUUUUCAUUUUAUAGUAGAGGAAAUAGAAGUUCACAGAGAAAUAGUUUGCUUAAUUGUAAUGCUAUAGCUAACACUAGCCUGUACCUAUCCAAGGCAUAGUAAGACACGCUUGUUUGAAAAUCAAUACUAUAAGUAGCAUAGGGAAUGUGGUUACAAAUAAAUGUGCUUUUAAAUAAGGAAAAGGCCAUAUGAGAAGCAUAGUUUGAAAUACUGCCAAAUUCAGGAAAAGAAAUAUAUAUCUGUGAUUGUAGUGGUCAGGGAAGGCUUCAUGGGGCCGGGACUUGGAGAGUGGGCAGAGUGUGGUCUGGCUGAGAAACAGGGUCGCGCAUUGGGGUGGACAGGACUGAGGGAUGCAAUGAGGCAGGACUCGGGGACACCGGUGUUGCUCAGUCUGCUGGGUACAGUUUGUUAUGAAAGAAUCGUGCGAGAGAAGUUUAGAGGAGUUAGUGGAACUGGAAAAAAAGAAAGCUUCUGAGUGUUACAAAAUCUGGAUUUUUUUUUUAUCUGCCAUUGGGAACUUCAAGGUUUUUGUGAUCGGGUUUAUUUUAGGCAAUCAGAAUCUGUUUGGAAAGUCAUUUCAGUGACUCAGCAAUAAGAUUAGUCAUGGCUGGUGGAAGGAGAGGAAGGAAUGAGAGAGAGAGAAAGGGACAACUUUUAGGAAGAACAACCUAGCCACAAAGACCUGGCCUUGCAUCUGCCUGCUGCAUCUACCAUUCACCUGGACAGCAGUGAUAAUUAGCCAACAUCUAUUGAGCAUUUACUAUAUGCCUUGCACUGUGCAAGUCAUUCAUUUGUUCCACAGAUACUAUUUUCUCCAUGUCAAGUGUCCUUUCAGGCACUAGCGAGACAGCUGAAAAUGACAGAAAUUGCUCUGUUCUGUUUCUAAUUCUAUGAGACAGAUGCCAUUAUCAUCACCAUUUUACAGAUGAGGAAACCACAGCUUUGAGAGUUUAAAUAACUGCCCAAGGUCACAUACACGGUAAGUGGCAGAUCCGUGACUGUCUGGAUUUCAAAAUCUAGGCAUCAAACCACCAGGCCAUGACAGCAAUGUGCAGAUAACUGACUCUUCCUGAGCUGCAGCUGUCUUUUCUGUAAAACGGGACAUAGACCCUCCUCUUAAUACAAGUUCGUUUUGUUAAUUUAUUUAUUCCUUCAUGAUUAGUGGCUAAUUAGACUAGACAAUUUCAAAAAGCUUCCUAACACUUCUUUAAAUAAAGCUUGCAUAGUCCUAGUGAGUUUAGUGAAGAAUGGGAGGAUGCUCACAUGAGGAUUAUGUCACUUCUUGUCUUUUGACAAGGGCCACAUUUGGAAGUAGCAAAGACAAACACAGAUAAAUUCAUUCUCUUUGGUCACAUUUCUGAAGUUUUCUUGAUUUUCUCCAGGAGUCAGGAGAAAAGAAUUAACCCUGUGUGCAUUUGUUUCAUUCCACAACUUUUAAAACGGUGCCAUAGACUCGAUGACAUUUUUGUUAAAAUUAUGGGUUUGGGGAAUUUGGUAAGAGGUCACUUUUCUUAGGCUACACUGCAGAAAGAACUAGCCAAGAGGCUGCACGACUUGGUUAAGCAUGUUGAAGGAGGCAUCCUGUGUGAGUAAUAGCACCUUCUUAGUCAGAUUAUAUUCUUAUGAAGGUGGCCUGGAGAGGGGACAGGAAAUGGCACAUAAACCCUGCAAUUGGGACUUGCUGCUGGGCCACCUUUUAAAGACAGGAAAUGCAUUAAGAAAAGAAAGCCACAUUAAUCAUGUUUCCUUGUGGAGAAUACCACCCACCAUAUCUUCCCACCAGAAUAGGUACAGAAAGGGUUGUUAAGAACAUUGAAGCCAGUUUCCCUUUAUUUUCUUUUUUAUUCAUUUUUAAUUGACAAAUAUUAAUUAUAUAUAUUUAUAGGCUACAAUGUGAUGUUUUGAUCUAUGUAAACUUCAUAGAAAGAUUCGAUCAAGCUAAUGAAUGUAUCUAUCACCUCACCAAUUUAUUAUUUUUGUGUGUGGUGAGAAUUUUAACAAUCUAUUUGAGCAAUUUUGAGAUAUACUAAAUAUAAUACCUGUCCUGACAAAUGCAAAACCUGUCCCAAGAAAGUCAAGUACGGAGCAUAAUGAGUUAGAGAUCAGAAAUCAUUUCAUAUAGAUUUUCUUAUUUCAUUCACAUUUCCUAAAUAUUUUUUGUGUAUCUGACCAGGUGUUAAGGAUUCAAGGACAGAUUUAUAUGUGGCAAAACUAAAUGUGUUCAUUUGUUUGCUGAUGCUUUGGCUUUGAGGAGUGGCUUUAGUUUCUUAUUUAAUGACAGUGAACCUUAGUUUCUCAUUUAUAGAACAUAGGCAAUAAUGACAUUUACUUCAUAGGGUAGUUAUGAGUAUUAAAUCAGAUAGCACAUAUAGAUCCAUAAACCUGGCUGGCAGAUAGUGUGUUGAAAUAAAUGUUACCUGCUACUACUAGUCACUGGGAGAUGCUGGGAUAGAAUGAUAAGCAAUACUGGCAUGCUUGCUGCCCUCUAGGGGCUUAGAGUCUAUCACCAUUAUUAAUUUUCCAAAGAGGCUGUGGAAGAUAUGUUAAUAGGAUAUAGUCAUCGCCCAAGGGAACAAUGGCCAGUUUAAGCCGGGAGAUACUGAAAAGCCUCUAUGAAAUGGUAAGGUUGGGACUGGGGCUGAGGGGUAUGAGAAAGCGUAUUCCAGGCAGGCAAAUCUGUGUGCAAAAAAGGUAGUGCAAAAAGCCAGGACUGCUCAGGACAUGGAAACAGCUGCUCAGAGCUAGAACACUGAGAUUGUUGGGUGGGAAGACUGAAGAGGAAGCUAGAGCUAAAUCAAGGGGGGAUUUUUGUGCAGUUUGAUUCUGGCUGUGGUUUAAAUGUGUCUCUCAAAAAUUCAUAUAUGUUGAAGCCUAACCACCCAGGUGACUGUAUUAGCAGGUGGGGCUUUAAAGGGAGGAGGGCAUGCGUGAGGUUCGUGCCCUUAUAACAGGGCUGCAGGGAGGUAGCUUUUUCCCUUCUGCCUUGUACCAUGUGAAGACACAGCAACAAGCAGAGAGCAGCCCUCACCAGACACCGAAACUGCUGGCACCUUGA